Pelobates cultripes (western spadefoot toad) is the source of this 299-nucleotide non-coding RNA. NCBI's taxonomy places the organism in Eukaryota, Metazoa, Chordata, Amphibia, Anura, Pelobatidae. The record is from the annotation of a GenBank genome assembly.
AGGGAAAAUCGUGGGAAUAAACACUGGGAACACAAAAAAUAGAAGGCAAAACAUAUGAAUAUUCAGUGGGCAUGGUACUUAGUGGUGGUAGCCCGCCUUAGUUCCUGAUGUGGUUGCGGUGUGGUCCGAGAUGAUUCCUCGGCUACAUUGAAGACCUGCUAGGGACCUUGCCGCGCUGGCUCGGUGCCGGGGAAAGGUCAAUAAGACUAUGUCGGUUUUCAUACGGCAGACAGGCAAUGUUGUGGUGAGGCAUCGGGAUCUGGAAGGAAAGCUGUCUGGGAAUUAUUGGGCGGACGGGG